RNAcentral lists this transfer RNA (63 nucleotides) under Neocrepidodera sp. BMNH 848121. RNAcentral describes it as "tRNA-Asn". The record is from RNAcentral. Lineage: Eukaryota; Metazoa; Arthropoda; Insecta; Coleoptera; Chrysomelidae.
UUAAUUGAAACCAAAAAGAGGUAUAUCACUGUUAAUGAUAAAAUUGAGGCAGCUCCAAUUAAA